CUGUGAGGCAUGCUGGAGGUAUCAGAAGUGCGAAUGCUGACAUAAGUAACGAUAAAGCGGGUGAAAAGCCCGCUCGCCGGAAGACCAAGGGUUCCUGUCCAACGUUAAUCGGGGCAGGGUGAGUCGACCCCUAAGGCGAGGCCGAAAGGCGUAGUCGAUGGGAAACAGGUUAAUAUUCCUGUACUUGGUGUUACUGCGAAGGGGGGACGGAGAAGGCUAUGUUGGCCGGGCGACGGUUGUCCCGGUUUAAGCGUGUAGGCUGGUUUUCCAGGCAAAUCCGGAAAAUCAAGGCUGAGGCGUGAUGACGAGGCACUACGGUGCUGAAGCAACAAAUGCCCUGCUUCCAGGAAAAGCCUCUAAGCAUCAGGUAACAUCAAAUCGUACCCCAAACCGACACAGGUGGUCAGGUAGAGAAUACCAAGGCGCUUGAGAGAACUCGGGUGAAGGAACUAGGCAAAAUGGUGCCGUAACUUCGGGAGAAGGCACGCUGAUAUGUAGGUGAAGUCCCUCGCGGAUGG
This 518-nucleotide ribosomal RNA is filed under the name Escherichia coli. RNAcentral describes it as "partial 23S ribosomal RNA". It matches the Rfam family "Bacterial large subunit ribosomal RNA", at positions 1261 to 1776 of the family's 2925-position model. The record is from RNAcentral. Lineage: Bacteria; Pseudomonadati; Pseudomonadota; Gammaproteobacteria; Enterobacterales; Enterobacteriaceae.